Molecule: ribosomal RNA, 253 nt
Filed under: uncultured bacterium
Lineage: Bacteria
Description: partial 16S ribosomal RNA
Rfam family: Bacterial small subunit ribosomal RNA
Source: RNAcentral
UACGUAGGGAGCAAGCGUUGUCCGGAAUCAUUGGGCGUAAAGCGCGCGUAGGCGGCCCGGUAAGUCCGCUCUGAAAGUCACAGGCUCAACCUGUGAAAGCGGGUGGAUACUGCCGGGCUAGAGUCCGGAAGAGGCGAGUGGAAUUCCUGGUGUAGCGGUGGAAUGCGCAGAUAUCAGGAGGAACACCAACGGCGAAGGCAGCUCGCUGGGACGGUACUGACACUGAGGCGCGAAAGCGUGGGUAGCAAACAGG